Molecule: ribosomal RNA, 253 nt
Filed under: Eubacterium coprostanoligenes
Lineage: Bacteria; Bacillati; Bacillota; Clostridia; Eubacteriales; Eubacteriaceae
Description: partial 16S ribosomal RNA
Rfam family: Bacterial small subunit ribosomal RNA
Source: RNAcentral
UACGUAGGUGGCAAGCGUUGUCCGGAAUUACUGGGUGUAAAGGGAGCGUAGGCGGGAAGCCAAGUCAGCUGUGAAAACUACGGGCUUAACUUGUAGACUGCAGUUGAAACUGGUUUUCUUGAGUGAAGUAGAGGUUGGCGGAAUUCCGAGUGUAGCGGUGAAAUGCGUAGAUAUUCGGAGGAACACCGGUGGCGAAGGCGGCCAACUGGGCUUUAACUGACGCUGAGGCUCGAAAGUGUGGGGAGCAAACAGG